Molecule: ribosomal RNA, 905 nt
Filed under: uncultured Bacteroidota bacterium
Lineage: Bacteria; Pseudomonadati; Bacteroidota
Description: bacterial SSU rRNA
Rfam family: Bacterial small subunit ribosomal RNA
Source: RNAcentral
AGAGUUUGAUCCUGGCUCAGGAUGAACGCUAGCGGGAGGCCUAACACAUGCAAGCCGAGCGGUAUUGUUUCUUCGGAAACGAGAGAGCGGCGCACGGGUGCGGAACACGUGUGCAACCUGCCUUUAUCUGGGGGAUAGCCUUUCGAAAGGAAGAUUAAUACCCCAUAAUAUUUUGAAUGGCAUCAUUUAAAAUUGAAAACUCCGGUGGAUAGAGAUGGGCACGCGCAAGAUUAGAUAGUUGGUAGGGUAACGGCCUACCAAGUCAGUGAUCUUUAGGGGGCCUGAGAGGGUGAUCCCCCACACUGGUACUGAGACACGGACCAGACUCCUACGGGAGGCAGCAGUGAGGAAUAUUGGACAAUGGGUGAGAGCCUGAUCCAGCCAUCCCGCGUGAAGGACGACGGCCCUAUGGGUUGUAAACUUCUUUUGUACAGGGAUAAACCUAUUUACGUGUAAAUAGCUGAAGGUACUGUACGAAUAAGCACCGGCUAACUCCGUGCCAGCAGCCGCGGUAAUACGGAGGGUGCAUGCGUUAUCCGGAUUUAUUGGGUUUAAAGGGUCCGUAGGCGGAUCCGUAAGUCAGUGGUGAAAUCUCAUAGCUUAACUAUGAAACUGCCAUUGAUACUGCGGGUCUUGAGUAAGGUAGAAGUAGCUGGAAUAAGUAGUGUAGCGGUGAAAUGCAUAGAUAUUACUUAGAACACCAAUUGCGAAGGCAGGUUACUAUGUCUUAACUGACGCUGAUGGACGAAAGCGUGGGGAGCGAACAGGAUUAGAUACCCUGGUAGUCCACGCCGUAAACGAUGCUAACUCGUUUUUGGGCUUUCGGGUUCAGAGACUAAGCGAAAGUGAUAAGUUAGCCACCUGGGGAGUACGAACGCAAGUUUGAAACUCAAAGGAAUUGACGG